AGAGUUUGAUCAUGGCUCAGGAUGAACGCUAGCGGGAGGCCUAACACAUGCAAGCCGAGCGGUAGAGAUUCUUCGGAAUCUUGAGAGCGGCGUACGGGUGCGGAACACGUGUGCAACCUACCUUUAUCUGGAGGAUAGCCUUUCGAAAGGAAGAUUAAUACUCCAUAGUAUAUUGAUUGGCAUCAAUUGAUAUUGAAAGCUCCGGCGGAUAGAGAUGGGCACGCGCAAGAUUAGUUAGUUGGUGAGGUAACGGCUCACCAAGACGAUGAUCUUUAGGGGCCUGAGAGGGUGAUCCCCCACACUGGUACUGAGACACGGACCAGACUCCUACGGGAGGCAGCAGUGAGGAAUAUUGGUCAAUGGGUGCAAGCCUGAACCAGCCAUCCCGCGUGAAGGACGACUGCCCCUAUGGGUUGUAAACUUCUUUUGUAUAGGGAUAAACCUACCCUCGUGAGGGUAGCUGAAGGUACUAUACGAAUAAGCACCGGCUAACUCCGUG
This 499-nucleotide ribosomal RNA is filed under the name uncultured bacterium. RNAcentral's name for it is "bacterial SSU rRNA". It matches the Rfam family "Bacterial small subunit ribosomal RNA", at positions 8 to 507 of the family's 1533-position model. The record is from RNAcentral.